This is an RNA transcript of Epinephelus moara (kelp grouper), 1717 nucleotides long. It is a transcript of the gene named zinc finger protein 420-like, with no coding region annotated. NCBI's taxonomy places the organism in Eukaryota, Metazoa, Chordata, Actinopteri, Perciformes, Serranidae. The transcript is spliced from 3 exons. The record is from RefSeq and is a predicted model, not a curated record.
UUCAACAGUGUGACACAUCCAGCGGAAGUAAACAAAACAAGCGCUACAGCAGCGUUAGCUCAAUAGAUGUAUGGAUGUAGCUGGGGGGUGAUGGUGUAGUUUUCGAUAAGAAAUAGUUUACUUAUAAUUAGACAACAAUGUGUUCAGUUGAGUUUUUGAGAGAGUUUGUCAACGAGCGACUAACUGCUGCUGCUGAAGAAAUAUUGGGAGUUUUUCAAAGAAGCAUCGUCGAGUACGAGGAAGAGAUCGAUCGUCAGCGCAGACUGUUGGAUAUCGUUUUGAAGCCUGAAAUAAAGUUACACAGGACAGAGCUCCCACAGCAACAUGUGUGUAAGGAGGAGGAGGUUGUCCCUGAGCAGCAGCUCUGUAUUGAGGAGAGGAAGUCCAGUGUGGACCAAGAGGAGCCAGAGCCUCCAGAGAUUAAAGAGGAAGAGGAGGAAGUGUGCAGCAGUCAGGAGGGAGAGCAGCUUGUAGUGAAGCAGGAGACUGAUGGCUUUAUGUUGACUCCUGCUGAUGAGGAAAGUGAGCACAGUGAAGAUCAGAAAAGACAGAAACCGAAAAACAGAUAUCAUGAAAGCUGUAGUUACAGUAACAAUGUAUACAACUCCACCAUGUCAAAUAUUCACUGUGAUACUCACUCAAGUAAAAAGUAUUUAGAAGGUGGGGGAGCUUAUAAGCAUACGUCAAAAUUGAACCCACACUUCCGAAUCCACAGAGGUGAGAAGUCAUUUACAUGUAGAACAUGUGGAACAGCUUUCAGACGUUACAGUGACUUGAAAGUCCACAUGAGAAUCCACACAGGAGAGAGGCCGUAUACUUGUAAAACAUGUGGGAAGGCUUUCAAACAUAGCAGCGUCUUGAACGUCCACAUGAGAACCCACACAGGUGAGAAACCGUACCUUUGCAAGACCUGCGGCAAAAGAUAUUGUGCGUUGUCCUCGUUGACAAGACAUGUGAGAAUCCACACGGGGGAGAAACCGUACCUUUGCAAGACCUGCAGGAAAAGAUUCAGUGACAUAUCAGUAUUGAAAAGGCAUUGUAGAAUCCACACAGGUGAGAAGCCACAUACUUGCACAACAUGUGGAAAAGCUUUCGGACUUAAAGGUAACCUGAAAGCCCACAUGAGAAUCCACACAGGUGAGAAGCUGUACGUUUUCAAGACCUGUGGGAAAGACCCUAUAACAUCUCCUCACUGACAAGGCAUGUAAGAAUCCAAACAGAUGAGAAGCAAUGAAACUUUAAAACAUGGGAAAGCUUUCUACCAGAACAGUGUCUUGAAAGCCACAUCAUAACUCACAGCGGUGAGAAGCUGUGACUUUCAGGAAAUAGUGUUGUCAGUGAAUCAAUGAUUAAUACAGUGACCAGUGUCCUGGGAAAGUGAGCAACGAACUGUUUUUGUUUUUUUUAUCUUGUGUGUUUUAAAAAUAAAGGUUUGCAUGUUGAUGAUUAAAGAAGAGGCUGAGGCUGAGAUGCAGCUGCUGGACAGAGCCACGAUCUGUUUGGAGACCAAAAACAAGCAUAAAAACAAUAUCCAAAUAAAGUAAAAAUGAAUUAAUACAGGUGUUCACAGAUUAGCCAGGGGUAAGAACAGAACAUUAACAGAAAUCUUAUAUGGGAUUAUGAGAUGUUAUACAGGGUGCACAGGUUCAGUGUUUUAGUACCUUUCUUAUUUUCUGAGAAUAAAAUUGACUUCAUAUAUUGUUUGAUCGGAAAUUUU